Molecule: non-coding RNA, 1347 nt
Organism: Struthio camelus australis
Lineage: Eukaryota; Metazoa; Chordata; Aves; Struthioniformes; Struthionidae
Source: RefSeq, a predicted model, not a curated record
CUGGCAGUUUCUCUGGGCCCUGCUCACUUCCAGGUAUUGAAGCGCUGAGUGCAGCUUUCAAACACAUCGAUGCUACUAGACUUCAUCUUCUAGUGGGAGGUGCUGAUUCAUGCCUGAGGCCGGCCUGAUCUGGGAGCCAAAAAGGAGUUGGGAAGAUCCUCAGCUAGCAUCAAUGGAGCCACUCCUGUCCCGUGAACGGAGCCGGGGCACUUCAUACCAGCGGGGGAUCCUUCCCCUGGGAUUUAAGUGUUUUGCUGGCCCCUUGCGUAAGGAAAAGCGACUCGCUGCAUCUACUCUGUGAAGUUGGCAUGUUUUGCCAUCCUUGUCCCUGACCGUCUGGACCGGGGGUCCCUUGGGGAGCGCCUGGUUGCCCUGGCACAGGGAGACACCCAAGGCCAGGUAUGCUGGUGGGGAGCUGGGCUGGUGGGGAGGCAGAGAAAGCAGUGAAAGAAGCAGGAGGUCCCGCUCGAGCGGGUUUUGUUGUGUGUGAGCUUAGACCGUUGCUCAGAGCUGCUGCAAAGGCUUGGAGGGCCUUGCCGCAGGCAGCAGUGGAUCAGGCUCUAAGUUUAGUCACGCACGGGGUGAGGGUCAGACUGGUUUUUGGGCCCCUUCCUCACAUUGCCACCGCCACGUGGCACUUGCACUUGGGGAGAUGAGGUGCCAUCAGCAGCAAGCCUGCUGUGAGGAGCAAGAAAUUAAGCAGGUAAGCACAGACGCUCCUUGAGCAGUGUUUGAGCGUGCCAGAUGUCCUCGAAGGGCACAUCCUCCCUCUAAGGCUACUAAUGUUAUUAGGCUGAGUCAGCCCUGCUUGCAAGGCCCCAGAGUGUGCAGUGAUAGGGAUCUACCACCCUGUCUGGGCUGCGGGGAAGGAGGCGCUGAAGCUGUUAGCGAGGAGGAGUUGGCUGUGUUCAUCCGUGGGUGAAGAGGAGGAAGGCUCAGUGCCUUGCAUCCCCCUCCAGCCCCAGGGUUACGACUGGAUGCUGGGCUUCUCAUCAGGGCUUGCACCAGCAUAUGCUUUUUUCUUCCCCCAAAUGUAUUUAAAAUACUUUCUGCUCAGCUUUUAAAACUUCACGUGCUUUUUCUAAAAGAAAAACCUAUGGCCCUUCUGGCACCCAACACGAAGAUGCUGAGCACCCUGGGGAGGGUUGACAGCACCCUCAGCCGUGGGAGCUCAGCUCCCGGUGGGUCUGUGCUGCCUCUGCCAAGUCUGGAGAGGGAAGCAGUGGCAGGUUCCUGCGUUGAUCCCUCUAGGAAGCAGGUCAAGGCUCUUGACAUCUGUCAGUUUCUAGGAUGUUUAAGCUUGAAAGAGGUUUUUUCUGUAUUCCUCUGCCAGCUCUGUGCUGGCUC